Long non-coding RNA from Actinia tenebrosa (Australian red waratah sea anemone), 573 nucleotides. RefSeq lists it as uncharacterized. NCBI's taxonomy places the organism in Eukaryota, Metazoa, Cnidaria, Anthozoa, Actiniaria, Actiniidae. The record is from RefSeq and is a predicted model, not a curated record.
GAUGAGAAGAUGCUGUUGCUAUGGUUUAGAAGAGGAAACGCAUUUUCUCAGAGAAGAUGGCGGACGCGGUGUUCACACCCAACCGAAGUUCAACUGAAGUCUCAUAACAACAUUGUACGAAACAUGCAAAUAAUGGACGUGAAGAUGAAAAGAUGAAAAGAUGAAACCAAAGUUCAUCUCAAAUGAAACUGUACGGCCGUACCAUCAUAUCUAUGGAUGUGAGUGUGACAUAGAUGGAUAUCACUCAGGAUGUACUAGGAAUUAAGGUACUAUAGUAGUUUUACUAUAUAUAUCUUUUUCUCCUAUUCCAAUUAUACUCCAAAUCGAAAUACAGUUUGGUGACCAAUUUCAAUUACUAUUUCCUGGGAAACACAAAAGCAUUUUCACAUGUAAGAGAGACUAGUCUCAGUCCACAACAAUUAUUCAAAUUGGUCACCAUAUUCCCAUUGUAUGCUUCAUAAAAUUACAAAAAUUAUGUGUUCAAAGAUUCAGUUUAUUAUUCAACAUUUGGUUUCCAUCUUCCUUUAAAGCUCACAUUGAUCAAUGAAAAUAAACAUUGUAAACUUCAACUGC